RNAcentral lists this ribosomal RNA (234 nucleotides) under uncultured bacterium. RNAcentral describes it as "partial 16S ribosomal RNA". It matches the Rfam family "Bacterial small subunit ribosomal RNA", at positions 104 to 334 of the family's 1533-position model. The record is from RNAcentral.
CGGGACGGGGUGGAGUAAUGUCUGGGAAACUGCCUGAUGGAGGGGGGUAACUACUGGAAACGGUAGCUAAUACCGCAUAACGUCGCAAGACCAAGAGGGGGACCUUCGGGCCUCUUGCCAUCGGAUGUGCCCAGAUGGGAUUAGCUAGUAGGUGGGGUAACGGCUCACCUAGGCGACGAUCCCUAGCUGGUCUGAGAGGAUGACCAGCCACACUGGAACUGAGACACGGUCCAG